Molecule: unclassified non-coding RNA, 266 nt
Filed under: Glomus sp.
Lineage: Eukaryota; Fungi; Glomeromycota; Glomeromycetes; Glomerales; Glomeraceae
Description: partial contains 5.8S ribosomal RNA and internal transcribed spacer 2
Rfam family: 5.8S ribosomal RNA (bases 1-65)
Source: RNAcentral
GUGAAUCAUCAAAUUUUUGAACGCAAAUUGCACUCUCUUCGGAGAGUAUGCCUGUUUGAGGGUCAGCCUAAAAAAAAUCGACAUAGUCGCUGUUUCGCGGUGACAUUCGUCGGAAAUUGGUUCAUCUUGAACCUUAGGGUUUUAAGCGGCUUAAAAUUCUCUUUACGAAUCUACGAACGGUUCUAUGAUUUACUUACACGCUUAAGGUAACGAUUUUUAUUAUACGUGGCCGUGUCAUCGGAGCCCGGCCAUAAAUAUUUCUUUAA